This 358-nucleotide unclassified non-coding RNA is filed under the name soil metagenome. RNAcentral describes it as "partial contains 5.8S ribosomal RNA, internal transcribed spacer 2, and large subunit ribosomal RNA". The stretch from base 1 to 120 matches the Rfam family "5.8S ribosomal RNA", at positions 35 to 154 of the family's 154-position model. The record is from RNAcentral.
GAUGAAGAACGUAGCGAAAUGCGAUAAGUAAUGUGAAUUGCAGAAUUCAGUGAAUCAUCGAAUCUUUGAACGCACAUUGCGCCCGUCAGUAUUCUGGCGGGCAUGCCUGUUCGAGCGUCAUUACGCCCCUCAAGUCCCCUGUGGACUUGGUGUUGGGGAUCGGCGAGGCUGGUUUUCCAGCACAGCCGUCCCUUAAAUUAAUUGGCGGUCUCGCCGCGGCCCUCCUCUGCGCAGUAGUAAAACACUCGCAACAGGAGCCCGGCGCGGUCCACUGCCGUAAAACCCCCCAACUUUUUAUAGUUGACCUCGAAUCAGGUAGGACUACCCGCUGAACUUAAGCAUAUCAAUAAGCGGAGGA